RNAcentral lists this long non-coding RNA (869 nucleotides) under Marmota monax (woodchuck). The record is from RNAcentral. Lineage: Eukaryota; Metazoa; Chordata; Mammalia; Rodentia; Sciuridae.
AGUGGCCAACGAAGAGUGCUGUGUGGGUUCCUGCGCAACCUGCACAGGUGACACGGGACGGACCCUAACUCACAAGGAUGCUCACCUCAUCUCCCCCAGCCGUCCCCCUGAGCCACUAGGCACCUCAGAGGAGGGAGAUGAGGCAGGGGGCUGGUCUGGCGGGAGGCCCACGGGCCCUAAGGAACGGAGGUGUGAGGUGGACAGCAGGGGUGAACCUGCCCCAGCGCUGCUCUAGCUCCCUGGACCACGCCUGCGCUCUCGGGCCACUGUGGCUACAGGAACACUGGCCGCAUGAGGUGGACUUGGCUCUGCAGUGGUCCCUGGCAGCCCUAGGUGGAAGGCUGGUGGGCCUGCUGCGGGACUGGGUGGACCCCAGUGGACACAUCUUGGCAGGCUCUUUCUCCCCUUCCCUGCUCACCCCUGGCCUAGGCCACAACAGUUUCAACCCGGGACUGUCACCGUGCACUGGGCUCUGCUGCAGGAGGGUGUGUGGCAAGCCCUCCUUCCAACGCCCAGGUGUUCUUGUAGACCAUGCCCAGGACCUCUAGCUGGCAGAGUGCCAGGGAAGACCUUAAGGUGUGCGAGGGGACACAGACGUGCAGGCUCAGAUGGCUGGGUCAUGCAUGCCCCAAGGAACCCUGGGUGUGGCCAGAUCCCAGGGCAGGCCCCAGAAGGCUGGAAGCCCAAGUCAGCACUCUCUCCCUCAGGCUGUCUCCAGCUCAUGUCGGGCACUAACUGCCCAGUGACCAUUCAAGGAGGGGCCUUCAGAUCACCACAGCUCAAACUCACUUUGCACCUGGGGAACCUGAGGCAAAUCAUGGCCACAGGCACUAGAUUCUCACCUGAAGAAGAGUGGGUGGAACUCGUUG